This 253-nucleotide ribosomal RNA is filed under the name uncultured bacterium. RNAcentral describes it as "partial 16S ribosomal RNA". It matches the Rfam family "Bacterial small subunit ribosomal RNA", at positions 524 to 776 of the family's 1533-position model. The record is from RNAcentral.
UACGGAGGAUCCAAGCGUUAUCCGGAUUUAUUGGGUUUAAAGGGUGCGUAGGCGGAUUAGUAAGUCAGUGGUGAAAGCCUGCAGCUCAACUGUAGAACUGCCAUUGAUACUGCUAGUCUUGAGUAUAGUUGAGGAGGGCGGAAUAUGACAUGUAGCGGUGAAAUGCUUAGAUAUGUCAUAGAACACCGAUUGCGAAGGCAGCUCUCUAAGCUAUCACUGACGCUGAGGCACGAAAGCGUGGGUAGCAAACAGG